CUCAGGAUGAACGCUGGCGGCGUGCUUAACACAUGCAAGUCGAACGAUGAUGCCAGCUUGUUGGUGGAUUAGUGGCGAACGGGUGAGUAACACGUGAGUAACCUGCCCUUGACUCUGGGAUAAGCCUGGGAAACUGGGUCUAAUACCGGAUAUGACCUUCCAUCGCAUGGUGGUUGGUGGAAAGCUUUUGUGGUUUUGGAUGGACUCGCGGCCUAUCAGCUUGUUGGUGGGGUAAUGGCCUACCAAGGCGACGACGGGUAGCCGGCCUGAGAGGGUGACCGGCCACACUGGGACUGAGACACGGCCCAGACUCCUACGGGAGGCAGCAGUGGGGAAUAUUGCACAAUGGGCGCAAGCCUGAUGCAGCGACGCCGCGUGAGGGAUGACGGCCUUCGGGUUGUAAACCUCUUUCAGUAGGGAAGAAGCGUAAGUGACGGUACCUGCAGAAGAAGCGCCGGCUAACUACGUGCCAGCAGCCGCGGUAAUACGUAGGGCGCAAGCGUUAUCCGGAAUUAUUGGGCGUAAAGAGCUCGUAGGCGGUUUGUCGCGUCUGCCGUGAAAGUCCGGGGCUCAACUCCGGAUCUGCGGUGGGUACGGGCAGACUAGAGUGAUGUAGGGGAGACUGGAAUUCCUGGUGUAGCGGUGAAAUGCGCAGAUAUCAGGAGGAACACCGAUGGCGAAGGCAGGUCUCUGGGCAUUAACUGACGCUGAGGAGCGAAAGCAUGGGGAGCGAACAGGAUUAGAUACCCUGGUAGUCCAUGCCGUAAACGUUGGGCACUAGGU
RNAcentral lists this ribosomal RNA (783 nucleotides) under Pseudarthrobacter chlorophenolicus. Its description in RNAcentral is "bacterial SSU rRNA". It matches the Rfam family "Bacterial small subunit ribosomal RNA", at positions 23 to 821 of the family's 1533-position model. Lineage: Bacteria; Bacillati; Actinomycetota; Actinomycetes; Micrococcales; Micrococcaceae. The record is from RNAcentral.